AACUUUUAGCAACGGAUCACUUGGCUUUCGCAUCGAUGAAGAACGCAGCGAAAUGCGAUAAGUAAUGUGAAUUACAGAAUUCAGUGAAUCAUCGAAUCUUUGAACGCACCUUGCGCCCCAUGGUAUUCCGUGGGGCAUGCCUGUUUGAGUGUCACGUGAAACUCUCACUCGCGUCUUGCCGUGAGGCUCGGCGUGCAGUGGACUUGGACCGUGCCGUCGUCGGCUCGUCUUGAAAUGCAUUAGCUGUGCUGCGCGAUUUCGGCCGCCUGGUGUGAUAAAUAUCUACGCCAACCGUGCGUCGUCGCUGCCGCGUGGCUCAUAACCAUUUUAUUUUUAACGCUCUGGCCUCAAAUCAGGUAGGACUACCCGCUGAACUUAAGCAUAUCAAUAAGCGGAGGCU
RNAcentral lists this unclassified non-coding RNA (400 nucleotides) under uncultured Exidiaceae. Its description in RNAcentral is "sequence contains ITS2". The stretch from base 1 to 154 matches the Rfam family "5.8S ribosomal RNA". Lineage: Eukaryota; Fungi; Basidiomycota; Agaricomycetes; Auriculariales. The record is from RNAcentral.